This 248-nucleotide unclassified non-coding RNA is filed under the name Hevea brasiliensis (rubber tree). The record is from RNAcentral. Lineage: Eukaryota; Viridiplantae; Streptophyta; Magnoliopsida; Malpighiales; Euphorbiaceae.
GAUUUGAGUUGUUGGUAUUGAGGACCAGAUUUCUUACAUCAUCAGGAAUUAGGAAAAGAAAUUUCAGCUUUGAGGUUCGCAAGGCAUUCAGUAGGAAGACCAAGGAAGGUGUUCAUGAAAACAUCAUCAAUUGGUUGGAUAGUUGCUACCCCAACCAAUCUGCAUUUCCCUUCUCUAUCCAACCUUUCUCCUUGUCCGCUGCGUAUCACUCCAUUUGAUUCUUCUGAUGUCAAUACUGUUUUCACAAG